GGGCGAUUAGCUCAGCUGGUUAGAGCGUCCGGCUUACAUCCGGGAGGUCGAGGGUUCAAGUCCUUCAUCGCCCACCA
RNAcentral lists this transfer RNA (77 nucleotides) under Candidatus Omnitrophota bacterium. RNAcentral's name for it is "tRNA-Val". It matches the Rfam family "tRNA". From Rfam's summary of the family: Transfer RNA (tRNA) molecules are approximately 80 nucleotides in length. Their secondary structure includes four short double-helical elements and three loops (D, anti-codon, and T loops). The record is from RNAcentral. Lineage: Bacteria; Pseudomonadati; Candidatus Omnitrophota.